Molecule: transfer RNA, 73 nt
Filed under: Camelus bactrianus (Bactrian camel)
Lineage: Eukaryota; Metazoa; Chordata; Mammalia; Artiodactyla; Camelidae
Also listed under: 2 other names
Rfam family: tRNA
About the family: Transfer RNA (tRNA) molecules are approximately 80 nucleotides in length. Their secondary structure includes four short double-helical elements and three loops (D, anti-codon, and T loops).
Source: Rfam by way of RNAcentral
GAGGGUAUAGCUCAAGUGGUAGAGCACAUGCUUAGCAUGCGCAAGGUCCUAGGUUCAAUUCCCAGUACCUCCU